This 58-nucleotide small RNA is filed under the name Vibrio azureus NBRC 104587. RNAcentral describes it as "Pseudomonas sRNA P26". It matches the Rfam family "Pseudomonas sRNA P26". Rfam says of the family: P26 is conserved across many Gammaproteobacteria species and appears to be consistently located between the DNA directed RNA polymerase (beta subunit) and 50S ribosomal protein L7/L12 genes. The record is from Rfam by way of RNAcentral. Lineage: Bacteria; Pseudomonadati; Pseudomonadota; Gammaproteobacteria; Vibrionales; Vibrionaceae.
UUGCAUAGUUUCUUAGCCUAACGGCUAUUUGGCUGGUGGUUUUUUUAACCACCAGCCU